CGGGAGGCAGCAGUGGGGGAUAUUGCGCAAUGGGGGAAACCCUGACGCAGCGACGCCGCGUGAGCGAGGAAGGCCUUCGGGUCGUAAAGCUCUGUCCCUGGGGAAGAAGGAAUGACGGUACCUGGG
RNAcentral lists this ribosomal RNA (126 nucleotides) under Thermoanaerobacter sp. enrichment culture clone CX8. RNAcentral's name for it is "partial 16S ribosomal RNA". It matches the Rfam family "Bacterial small subunit ribosomal RNA", at positions 342 to 483 of the family's 1533-position model. Lineage: Bacteria; Bacillati; Bacillota; Clostridia; Thermoanaerobacterales; Thermoanaerobacteraceae. The record is from RNAcentral.